RNAcentral lists this long non-coding RNA (3818 nucleotides) under Gallus gallus (chicken). Lineage: Eukaryota; Metazoa; Chordata; Aves; Galliformes; Phasianidae. The record is from RNAcentral.
CUCCCUCUUUUCUCUGCACCAUUCCUUCCCUUCUUCCUCCAUCUGCCCUUCCCUCUUCUGCUGUUCCGUCUGUUCUCCUCGCCCUCUCUUUCUUUCCCUUGCCAUUUUUAGAUCAGCUCUCCUUACGCGUAUCCUCUCUUCUGUUUUGCCCUCUUUCUUCCCCCCCUCUCAUUCAUCACUCUUCUGUUCUUCCCCCUUACAAGCUCCUCUCUUCCCUUUUUUCUUUGUUCUGCUCGAUCUUUUCUCUCCUCUCCUUCUCUGCUCUCCUCUUUAUUGUCCCUGCUCCUCUCUCUGUCCUCCACUUUUCCCUUCUUUCUUCUCAUUUAUUCACCUUUAUAUUCCCAGGGAGGACUGCUCAGGAGACUACAGGAACGUUCUGCUGAAGCUCUGUGGCAGUGAGGAUUGAAGGAUUCCUGGUGUGUUUGUAACUGUUGGUGAAUAACGCUCUGAAGGCAUCACAGACUGCCUGCUUGUCUCUGCAGUGCUCGGGGCUUUUCUGAGCUGCAGGCUCGCUGUCGCCCUGUGGCAUAGCCUUGCAUCUGGUGACGGACUGAAGCUGGAGAAUCCUGGCAGCAGAGGACGCUCCUGCCCCACAGAAGGGCUCACAGCUCCACCGCAGCUCCACCGACCUCAGUGCUGGUGAGGAGGCUGAGAUGCCUCCAAGUGAUGAAUGCAGUGCACCCAACCUUACACCUCGUGUGGUUCACUGUGCGAGGCGACCAGGAAGAAAGGUGGGCACAGGUAAUACUGCAUCAAAAGCAACUGCAGAGCUCUCGGGCUGGUAGUCCAGGGUGUGGGGGCCCAGGUGGUGCUGUGGGACAGGUGUGAAAGGAGGGCACUGGUGGUGCGUGCCAGUCCUUGGCUGCAGGACUGGUGCUGGUGGCAGGGCCUUGGGUUCUGUGUCUGCAGGACCUCUUUGCAGAUUGGUGUCUGCUUGGAAGGGAUGGGACCCACCUACCUAAGAGAGGUGAGGAUAUUUUCAUCAGUAGGAUGGCAGCUUCACAAGGGAGGCUUUAACCUAAGAAUGGUGAGGGCUUUUGAUCACAGGGAUGGGGUGAUGUGAGGGAGAGGGACCAGAAAAUCAGCACUUGCAGGGUUGCAAGGAAAUGCCUGAAGGCACUGCUAUGGGGAGAUCCCCCAAAGCUCCAGAGGAGGUUGUGGUGGGUAACGGGGGGAGGCUGCUUGGAUUUGUGCAGAGGGAGAGCUGGAGAGAGAAAUAGAUAGACAGAGGGAUCAACAGAGGAGAGAACUGUUAGAUGGAUGGAUGGAAAAACGGAUUGAAGGAUCAUUGGAUUGUUGGAUGAAAGGGUGGAUGUAAAUACAGGUGGGUGGAGAGAUCAACAGGAAAAUAUGAUUUCUGCCUCAAAGACCAGUGUGCCCCCAGGCCCCACUCCCUCCAUGGGAACCAGUGGCGGUGGCCCUGCGGGUACAGAACCCACGUCCCAUUGGCUGGAGCCACUCUCUUGGCUGCUACAGAACCCAGAACCUUUGGAGGAGGCUCAGUUCCAUGGCUCUGGCAUGGGGAGUGCUGGAUCCCUGGAUCCUCUGUCCAUUUGGGAUGGGGUGAUGGGGUCUGUGGUGCAGGAUGGAUCUUGGGUAUGGUGGUCUGUUGCCCCCUUUUAGUGGGAUGUGGGGUGAGAGAAGUCCUUGCCGUAUGAGUCCCUUUCUUACAGGAGGGAUUGGGCUCUAUGGAGUAGAAUGGGUCAGUGAGGUCCGUUGCCCACCUAUCAGGUUUACGGGGUCCAGUGGGGCAGGGAGGGGUCCCAAACCCCUCAGUUGGAUGCCCUGUUUAAGGUGGGAAGGAGGAUAAUGAGGUAAAGUGGGGCAGAGGGAGGGCCCCCUCCUUGCCCCUCCCCUUCAUUGCUGUGAUGUCAGUGGGGUAACAGCAGUUCUCAGGGUAACUGUCCCAACCCCAAACCAUCCUAGACUUCUCUCUGAUCAGCUGUGAAGAUGGUGCCUUGUGGCCUUGUUCCCAUCUGGGAUGGAUCGUUCUACAAUGCUGUGUGUCCCAUUGGGCCAAAAGUACUGGUUUGGUGCUGAAAUCCAACUCCAUUCCUCACCAGCUGUAUUCCCAAGGAAUCCUCCUUCCCCAUCCUCCCCAAGCUCCCAACUUCUAUCUCCAACUGAUGUGCAGGAAUCAAACUCUAUAACCACAGAGUAGUUAUAAAGCAGGUAUGUUUAAUCAGCGCUGCACACACGCUGGAUGCAGAGGGGGUAUUCCCACCUAGCCUGCAUACUGGAGGGCAAGCAAGGCACAUACUUAAAGAACAAGCUGCUUACAUAUGCAUUAGGAUAAGGAUAGGAUAAGGGGGAAUAUGUGGAGUCAUUCAUGCAUCUACUUACAAGUUGGGUCAUCCCAUUAUGUGCUCCAAAUACAAGGUUGAAUUUUGGUCCUAAAAUAAUAGUGCCGUUAGCAGCAGCUUCCUCACCUUCCCCUAAGCAAAUGGGCUCCCUCUGACCGCUUUUAUAUUUGUGCUGAGCAGGUCAAUUUAGUGACGGGACCCCAAAGCAUGGUACGUCCAUCCCUGCCUGUGGUAGUCAUGUGCAGAUCCAGCAAUCAGAGAAGUUUGAAGUCUUAGCACAGUUACUAAUUACACUGUAAAAGGAGCUCUCUUCCCAGGCCAGAACACCUCCCGCGUACAUUGAGAUAAAGCAAAUUAGUAACCAGCUCAUCUUGUCUUGAUGAGUUUAACUUUUGACGGUGCACUUUCCUUGGCAGACCCCGGCAUCUUGGAAUAACCUCCUGCAACAAUACUUACCUCACAUGCCUUAUUAGUCCUACAAGGGAAUGCCUCCAGCCACCCUAAAAAGCUAUCAGGACCAACAUACAGCAGUAUACCCCCCCCCGCCUUUUCUUGGGAGUUCUGAGAAAUCAAUUUGCCAUUGUUGCCCUGGCAGGUUCCCUUUCCCAGUAGGCCCACUUGUACCCUGUUCCUGGUACUAGGAUUGUACUUGGUAGUCUCUGUUCCCGCAGUAUGUUUUCUUAUCUUCCCUUAGAACCAAUUUCCAUACAAUACUAACGGGCACAACAAUGUGUCCAUCUGGGCGUGAACCCAUCUGUCAGCUUGCUCUCUUCCCUUCUAAACCACUAAUUAGAUUCCUAUCCUCCGUAGGAUAUUUUACAGGUUCUGACUCAGGUUCAGAGAUUUUAAGUUUACCGUCUGGAAUUAAAGCCUUCUUCAACUGCCUGUUCUGCCACCUGAUCCGCCAUCUUAUCUCCAGUUUCCUGUACAGUGCUACCUUUCUGGUGUCCUUUACAGAGUAUAAUAGCCAUGCUCUUUGGUAGAUGUACAUCAUACUGAAUGUUUUCCUUGUGUGUGAGCAAUCCUUGCUCUUUCCAGAGGGCACUAUGAGCGUGUUCCACCCCAAAAGCAUGUUUAGCAUCUGACCAUGUAUUUAAGGCUCUUGUCAAGGCAGUUAUUGCAGCCUUCUGAGCCAAGUCCCCACAGGCAAUGGUUGUUCGAUUACCUGGUCAGUAGCAGUUACUGCAUAUCCUGCCUUACGGUUGCCUCGUCUCACAACACUGCUUCUGUCGGAUGAACCCAGGAAUCCUCAGCACUGUCCAAUGGUUCCUCCUGUAGGUCUGGCCGACUGGCACAGUCAGUCUCCAAGCAGUCGCACGCUGCCGGUUUGGAGGUAGUUCUGUGUUGGUGUUAGAAUCAUGGAAUGGCCUGGGUUGAGAAGGACCUCAAAGAUCGUCCAGUUCCAACCCCCUGCUAUGUGCAGGGUCACCAACUGACGGACCAGGCUGCCCAGAGCCUUGUCUUGAAUAAGAUUGUUUUUAGGCGAACAAAAACUUUGGAUCACCUUUCAAAUAC